This 1099-nucleotide ribosomal RNA is filed under the name Acinetobacter sp. Its description in RNAcentral is "bacterial SSU rRNA". It matches the Rfam family "Bacterial small subunit ribosomal RNA", at positions 58 to 1151 of the family's 1533-position model. The record is from RNAcentral. Lineage: Bacteria; Pseudomonadati; Pseudomonadota; Gammaproteobacteria; Moraxellales; Moraxellaceae.
CAAGUCGAGCGGAGUGAUGGUGCUUGCACUAUCACUUAGCGGCGGACGGGUGAGUAAUGCUUAGGAAUCUGCCUAUUAGUGGGGGACAACAUUUCGAAAGGAAUGCUAAUACCGCAUACGUCCUACGGGAGAAAGCAGGGGAUCUUCGGACCUUGCGCUAAUAGAUGAGCCUAAGUCGGAUUAGCUAGUUGGUGGGGUAAAGGCCUACCAAGGCGACGAUCUGUAGCGGGUCUGAGAGGAUGAUCCGCCACACUGGGACUGAGACACGGCCCAGACUCCUACGGGAGGCAGCAGUGGGGAAUAUUGGACAAUGGGCGCAAGCCUGAUCCAGCCAUGCCGCGUGUGUGAAGAAGGCCUUAUGGUUGUAAAGCACUUUAAGCGAGGAGGAGGCUACUGAAGUUAAUACCUUCAGAUAGUGGACGUUACUCGCAGAAUAAGCACCGGCUAACUCUGUGCCAGCAGCCGCGGUAAUACAGAGGGUGCAAGCGUUAAUCGGAUUUACUGGGCGUAAAGCGCGCGUAGGCGGCUAAUUAAGUCAAAUGUGAAAUCCCCGAGCUUAACUUGGGAAUUGCAUUCGAUACUGGUUAGCUAGAGUGUGGGAGAGGAUGGUAGAAUUCCAGGUGUAGCGGUGAAAUGCGUAGAGAUCUGGAGGAAUACCGAUGGCGAAGGCAGCCAUCUGGCCUAACACUGACGCUGAGGUGCGAAAGCAUGGGGAGCAAACAGGAUUAGAUACCCUGGUAGUCCAUGCCGUAAACGAUGUCUACUAGCCGUUGGGGCCUUUGAGGCUUUAGUGGCGCAGCUAACGCGAUAAGUAGACCGCCUGGGGAGUACGGUCGCAAGACUAAAACUCAAAUGAAUUGACGGGGGCCCGCACAAGCGGUGGAGCAUGUGGUUUAAUUCGAUGCAACGCGAAGAACCUUACCUGGCCUUGACAUAGUAAGAACUUUCCAGAGAUGGAUUGGUGCCUUCGGGAACUUACAUACAGGUGCUGCAUGGCUGUCGUCAGCUCGUGUCGUGAGAUGUUGGGUUAAGUCCCGCAACGAGCGCAACCCUUUUCCUUAUUUGCCAGCGAGUAAUGUCGGGAACUUUAAGGAUACUG